GGGGGCGUGGCGGAAUGGUAGACGCUACGGACUUAAAAUCCGUUGACUGCAAGGUUGUAAGGGUUCAAGUCCCUUCGCCCCCA
This 83-nucleotide transfer RNA is filed under the name Leptolyngbya sp. Prado105. Its description in RNAcentral is "tRNA-Leu". It matches the Rfam family "tRNA". From Rfam's summary of the family: Transfer RNA (tRNA) molecules are approximately 80 nucleotides in length. Their secondary structure includes four short double-helical elements and three loops (D, anti-codon, and T loops). The record is from RNAcentral. Lineage: Bacteria; Bacillati; Cyanobacteriota; Cyanophyceae; Leptolyngbyales; Leptolyngbyaceae.